This 402-nucleotide ribosomal RNA is filed under the name uncultured bacterium. RNAcentral describes it as "bacterial SSU rRNA". It matches the Rfam family "Bacterial small subunit ribosomal RNA", at positions 357 to 773 of the family's 1533-position model. The record is from RNAcentral.
GGGAAUAUUGCGCAAUGGGGGAAACCCUGACGCAGCAACGCCGCGUGAAGGAUGACGGCCUUCGGGUUGUAAACUUCUGUCGCAGAGGAAGAAGAGAGUGACGGUACUCUGUGAGAAAGCCACGGCUAACUACGUGCCAGCAGCCGCGGUAAUACGUAGGUGGCGAGCGUUGUCCGGAUUUACUGGGUGUAAAGGGCGCGUAGGCGGAUUUGCAAGUCAGAUGUGAAAUACCGGGGCUUAACUCCGGAACUGCAUUUGAAACUGUAGACCUUGAGUGCCGGAGAGGAAAGCGGAAUUCCUAGUGUAGCGGUGAAAUGCGUAGAUAUUAGGAGGAACACCAGUGGCGAAGGCGGCUUUCUGGACGGUAACUGACGCUGAGGCGCGAAAGUGUGGGUAGCAAAC